UAGUAGUCAUACAUACAAGAAUAUGACUACCACUCCUUUUAUAAAAAAAAAUUAGAAAAAAAAAAAAAACAGACCUGGCAGACAGCCCGCCAGCCGGUCACACAGCACGACCGCCCGGCUGCCUGCCAGACAGCCCGCCCGCCUUCAUUCCAUUCUCAAAAAUGACAAGUAAGUAAUAUUUACGUGGAUCUGUGAUCUUGUGUAAAGUUCAAAUAUAAUUUUUAUUUUUUUCUAUAUUCAUAUCUUCUUCAAGUGAGGCCGGGAGCUCUCCUCCUCGACAACAUCGCUGGCAUGAUAUGUCAUCGUCUGUGGAGGAGAUGCAUCCUGGCCAAGAAAAGUCUACAGAAGAGGAAAUCAGGGGUGGAGGACAGCAAACGCCAUCUCGUCCCGUUGCCUCUCAGAGAGGUCUUCGAGCCUCUGUCAGAGGAAGUCAGGGUCGUGUGAGUAUUUUUAAUCAAAGUCUUUGUAAUUUAAAAAGUUUCAAACAUUAUGUUAAUAUUUUUUUUUAGGGUUCCCGAGUCUCCACCAGAAUCAAUAAGGAGGACAUUGGCAGUUUUUUUAUCGACAAUGACCUCCUCAUCCAGUUGGAGGAGCGUCCACCGUUGUGGGACCACACUGACCGCCACCACACAGACCACCAAGCAACCCGGCACCUCUGGCUCAAAAUACGUGAGGCAAUUGUGCCAAAUUGGGAGGACCUUGGAGACAGACAACAGGAUCAGUGCCGGUCGACAAUCAUGGUUUGCUUGCGGUCCUUAAGGGACUGCUACAAGAAAGACUUUAUUAAGGAACUCCGGCGUCCGAGUGAUUCAGGAGGAACCUCAAGAUGGGCAUAUUGCUAUACUGCUGCCUUGGGGUUCCUACGAAGAACCCUAGAGCUGCGAAGAACAUCAAUCAGUACUCGGGCGCCCGAAGUUCCCCAGGAGGCGGUCCCUGAUGAGCCAGCCACCGCGGGUCCCUCUCAUCCAACUCAACAACUGGUCAGGACUUCAAUGUUCCCCUACCCGUGCCCUCUGGCGACGCAACGAUGGCCCGCUUAGCCCCACUAUUUGCGGCCCUCAUGUAUCGCCAGAGGACAGGUAGGAGCCGUCAGGCGGACUAUGAGGAUCUCACAAGGCUCGUUUGUGAGUCCUUGAUGGGAUUCAAAAAUAGAGUUGCCACUUUAAAGGAUAAUUUGUGGCGUCUUCAGGAGGGGGUGGUGUUGACGUCGCAAAUGAGUCUGGUGCAUCACUAUUUGAUAUUGGUACUCCCCGUGAUGGAACUGUUCACGCCCGACCAACUGUUUGAGGCCAGAAGACAAGUGGACUGCGUCUUGUGUAGGGCUGCAGCUAACUAUUAUUUGAAUAAUCGAUUAGUUGUCGAUAAUUUCAUUGAUUAAUUGGGAAAAAACACCAAAAUGACAAA
This is a long non-coding RNA of Bufo gargarizans (Asiatic toad), 1404 nucleotides long. RefSeq lists it as uncharacterized. The record is from RefSeq and is a predicted model, not a curated record. The transcript is spliced from 5 exons. NCBI's taxonomy places the organism in Eukaryota, Metazoa, Chordata, Amphibia, Anura, Bufonidae.